Molecule: ribosomal RNA, 497 nt
Filed under: uncultured bacterium
Lineage: Bacteria
Description: partial 16S ribosomal RNA
Rfam family: Bacterial small subunit ribosomal RNA
Source: RNAcentral
GAUGAACGCUGGCGGCGUGCCUAAUACAUGCAAGUCGAGCGAACGGACGAGAAGCUUGCUUCUCUGAUGUUAGCGGCGGACGGGUGAGUAACACGUGGAUAACCUACCUAUAAGACUGGGAUAACUUCGGGAAACCGGAGCUAAUACCGGAUAAUAUUUUGAACCGCAUGGUUCAACAGUGAAAGACGGUCUUGCUGUCACUUAUAGAUGGAUCCGCGCUGCAUUAGCUAGUUGGUAAGGUAACGGCUUACCAAGGCAACGAUGCAUAGCCGACCUGAGAGGGUGGUCGGCCACACUGGAACUGAGACACGGACCUGACUCCUACGGGAGGCAUCAGUAGGGAAUCUGCCGCAAUGGGCGAAAGCCUGACGGAGCAACGCGGCGUGAGUGAUGAAGGUCUUCGGAGCGUAAAACUCUGUUAUUAGGGAAGAACAUAUGUGUAAGUAACUGUGCACAUCUUGACGGUACCGAAUCAGAAAGCCACGGCUAACUACGUG